GGCCUUGACAUACUAAGAACUUUCCAGAGAUGGAUUGGUGCCUUCGGGAACUUAGAUACAGGUGCUGCAUGGCUGUCGUCAGCUCGUGUCGUGAGAUGUUGGGUUAAGUCCCGNAACGAGCGCAACCCUUUUCCUUAUUUGCCAGCGGGUCAUGCCGGGAACUUUAAGGAUACUGCCAGUGACAAACUGGAGGAAGGCGGGGACGACGUCAAGUCAUCAUGGCCCUUACGGCCAGGGCUACACACGUGCUACAAUGGUCGGUACAAAGGGUUGCUACCUCGCGAGAGGAUGCUAAUCUCAAAAAGCCGAUCGUAGUCCGGAUCGCAGUCUGCAACUCGACUGCGUGAAGUCGGAAUCGCUAGUAAUCGCGGAUCAGAAUGCCGCGGUCGAAUACGUUCCCGGGCCUUGUACACACCGCCCGUCACACCAUGGGAGUUUGUUGCACCAGAAGUAGGUAGUCUAACCGCAAGGAGGACGCUUACCACGGUGUGGCCGAUGACUGGGGUGAAGUCGUAACAAGGUAGGCGUAGAUGA
RNAcentral lists this ribosomal RNA (534 nucleotides) under uncultured bacterium. RNAcentral's name for it is "bacterial SSU rRNA". It matches the Rfam family "Bacterial small subunit ribosomal RNA", at positions 977 to 1509 of the family's 1533-position model. The record is from RNAcentral.